AGCGAACGCUGGCGGCAGGCUUAACACAUGCAAGUCGAGCGGGCAUCCUUGUGGUGUCAGCGGCAGACGGGUGAGUAACGCGUGGAACGUGCCCUUCGGUUCGGAAUAACUCAGGGAAACUUGAGCUAAUACCGGAUACGUGCGAGAGCAGAAAGGUUUAUCUGCCGAAGGAUCGGCCCGCGUCUGAUUAGCUAGUUGGUGAGGUUACGGCUCACCAAGGCGACGAUCAGUAGCUGGUCUGAGAGGAUGAUCAGCCACACUGGGACUGAGACACGGCCCAGACUCCUACGGGAGGCAGCAGUGGGGAAUAUUGGACAAUGGGGGCAACCCUGAUCCAGCCAUGCCGCGUGAGUGAUGACGGCCUUAGGGUUGUAAAGCUCUUUUCUCCGGGACGAUAAUGACGGUACCGGAGGAAUAAGCCCCGGCUAACUUCGUG
Molecule: ribosomal RNA, 436 nt
Filed under: uncultured bacterium
Lineage: Bacteria
Description: partial 16S ribosomal RNA
Rfam family: Bacterial small subunit ribosomal RNA
Source: RNAcentral